This 946-nucleotide long non-coding RNA is filed under the name Pan troglodytes (chimpanzee). RNAcentral's name for it is "long non-coding RNA NONPTRT009072". The record is from RNAcentral. Lineage: Eukaryota; Metazoa; Chordata; Mammalia; Primates; Hominidae.
CCGUCAUCCUGGCAUUUUCUCCUUUUAACCAGUGCUAUGAAGUCGGAGCCAUUUGCUGUCCCUUUUACAGAUGAAGACAUUGAGGCUCAGAGAGGGAACCUGAGUGGUGAACAGUCCGGGUGCCAGCUCCUACUGCCUCACUCCUCCUAGGUCUCCUCCUGGGCUCCAAGGUGCUGCUGCUGGUUGAUGUCUCUGCUGCCUACGUCCACCGGAAGCAGAAGGCCUGACUCUCCUUUCCUCCUCCCCCGCCAUGUGGGACCCUCAGUCUGUGCUGCCUCCUUCCUUCCUUGAAGGGCUCAGCUGGAGAGAAGGAGCUGGCGAGAAGCUUCCCCAGACUCAGCUCCAAAUGCCUAUCCUCCCAGGACAUCUUCCUGCCCACAGGCUCCUGUUACUCCUUUGCAGAGUCCUUGAUGCUCCAUAGCAGGGUCUUCAUUCAUGGUCCUGAGCAGAGGCCAUGGGAUGGGGCUCUGGGGAGUGACUCACGACACCUCCCUAGGAUGUGGGAAACAUGCCAAAUCUAAACACAUUAGGACUCCUUGCAUCCAUCGCCUUGGGACUGGCCAUAAACCAUAGACUCUCUCUAGCCUCUCAAGAGUUAUUCUGCCAUCUGGAUUCCUGCCUACUCCAACUUCCCAGCCUUGGUGAGGUUCACUAUUGCCUCCUGAAUACAAACGAACCCCCAUCCCAAUUUUAAGAAAAAAAUGAUUCUCCUUCCUCUUUGUCUCACACCAAGAAAGAAAGAAGCUCUCCCUGCUUUCUCUGUGAUGGGACACUAGUUCUGCUAGCAUCCUGCAGCCUUCCCAGCCUUGCUGCUCGUGGUAGAAAUGCUGCCACAGUCCAACAUCCUGGAGUCCUCCUUGAUUUCUCACUCUCUUUUUUUUAUACUCUGCAUUCAAUUCUGCCUUUGAAAUGCUUAUGUCCACUUAUAUGAGACAGUAAAUGUUUA